AUUUUACUUUUCAACUUGAACUCUACAGGUUUUGGUUGCUGAGAGGCUUUUAACUCUGGGAGAAACUCUUAAUAGACUUCUGGGCAGCUAAUGAAGUAACUGUCUUCCCCAUGCUUGACGGACUCUUGUCAAUCCCAUCAUCACUUGCAAGUGGAGUUUAAUUUUCUUCUCUAGAAAAAUUGAAGGUAUGUAGUCUUCAUACCUAUGUAUUGAAUAUAGCGUGUGAUUUUCUAGUGGUUAAAAUCAUAAUUGUUAAGUGAAGGUAUACGUUGACUGCAUAUUGAACUACUAACGAGAUUCACCUAUUUGCACAUAGCAAACCUUAAGUAUUGUUUUUACGUUUGGUUAAGACUCUGCCAAUUCAAAAUUGUAGUAUUGUUUUAAUAAUCUGUACCAAUUCAAAUUUUAUGUAUAUAAAAUGUUUCAAAGUAGUAGUUCCAACUUGCUUACGGUAAAAAAAAAUAAAAAAAAUAAAAAAAUUUACUGCUUUCUCCCUAAGACAAUGUUAAAAGGCCUUAAGAGAUUGGAGUGCACUCAACUCCCUAAUUAAAGUGAUGUCCAUUUUUCUGUACUCCAGAACAAUUUAUCAUGCUAGCCAUACCAUUCUAGCACAGAGAAGCUUUUCGAUAUUAGCCUUUGCUCUUUGUAGCAAAGUAAACAAGGGUAUACUAGCAAACAAUAUAUAUGGAGCAUUCGGACAAUACCAAGUGCCAACAGAAGAAAUUUCUAUUCAUAUAUUAGAACUGCGAAAUUUGUCCGUGUCAUCCACAAGAUGCUGCUACAUAGGAAAAGCUUGAGUAUCUUCUUCGCCUCAGAUGGCCAAAGAAUUAGAGAUUGGCGAUCUAUGAAAAUAUGAUUGCACAAUAUGGACAGUAACAAUGCCAUAGACAGUGAAACACGUAUAACAAUGAGCACUAAAUGGUUAUAUUUACAGAGGCUAAUAGAGUUUCCCUGUGCUAGGCAUACAACUGUAUAUUGAUAAAUAAUAAGUUAUGGAACUUAACAAAACCAAACUGUACUAGUUUCAGUGUACUGUUAUGU
Molecule: long non-coding RNA, 1041 nt
Filed under: Nicotiana benthamiana
Lineage: Eukaryota; Viridiplantae; Streptophyta; Magnoliopsida; Solanales; Solanaceae
Description: long non-coding RNA (NBEN_LNC005475)
Source: RNAcentral